This 495-nucleotide ribosomal RNA is filed under the name uncultured bacterium. RNAcentral describes it as "partial 16S ribosomal RNA". It matches the Rfam family "Bacterial small subunit ribosomal RNA", at positions 28 to 507 of the family's 1533-position model. The record is from RNAcentral.
GAUGAACGCUGGCGGCGUGCCUAAUACAUGCAAGUAGAACGCUGAAGGAGGAGCUUGCUCUUCUGGAUGAGUUGCGAACGGGUGAGUAACGCGUAGGUAACCUGCCUGGUAGCGGGGGAUAACUAUUGGAAACGAUAGCUAAUACCGCAUGACAACAGUUAUUGCAUGAUAACUGUUUAAAAGGGGCAACUGCUCCACUACCAGAUGGACCUGCGUUGUAUUAGCUAGUUGGUGAGGUAACGGCUCACCAAGGCGACGAUACAUAGCCGACCUGAGAGGGUGAUCGGCCACACUGGGACUGAGACACGGCCCAGACGCCUACGGGAGGCAGCAGUAGGGAAUCUUCGGCAAUGGACGGAAGUCUGACCGAGCAACGCCGCGGGAGUGAAGAAGGUUUUCGGAUCGUAAAGCUCUGUUGUAAGAGAAGAACGAGUGUGAGAGUGGAAAGUUCACACUGUGACGGUAUCUUACCAGAAAGGGACGGCUAACUACGUG